GAUGAAGAACGCAGCGAAAUGCGAUACGUAGUGUGAAUUGCAGAAUUCAGUGAAUCAUCGAAUCUUUGAACGCACAUUGCACCUCUCGGUAUUCCGGGAGGUAUGCCUGUUCGAGCGUCAUUUGUACCCUCAAGCUCUGCUGGGUGUUGGGUGUUUGUUCCGCCUCUGUGUGUGAACUCGCCUCAAAACAAUUGGCAGCCGGCGUACUUGUUUCGGAGCGCAGCACAUUUUGCGAUCCAGAUCAACGUACAGCGGCAUCCAAGAAGCCUUAUUUAACGCUCUUGACCUCGGAUCAGGUAGGGAUACCCGCUGAACUUAAGCAUAUCAAUAAGCGGAGGA
RNAcentral lists this unclassified non-coding RNA (339 nucleotides) under soil metagenome. RNAcentral describes it as "partial contains 5.8S ribosomal RNA, internal transcribed spacer 2, and large subunit ribosomal RNA". The stretch from base 1 to 120 matches the Rfam family "5.8S ribosomal RNA", at positions 35 to 154 of the family's 154-position model. The record is from RNAcentral.